Empidonax traillii (willow flycatcher) is the source of this 763-nucleotide long non-coding RNA. RefSeq lists it as uncharacterized. The record is from RefSeq and is a predicted model, not a curated record. NCBI's taxonomy places the organism in Eukaryota, Metazoa, Chordata, Aves, Passeriformes, Tyrannidae. The transcript has 3 exons.
CCAUGCUCUAAUUCCAUUAAGGCUGCAAAAUACAUCCAUUUUGGAAGGAAACUCUCCAUCUCCGUGAAGAGCAGGUUGGUUUUCAGCAGCAGCUGGGUCCUGCCAUCAGCAAAACUGUUGUCAAAACACUCGAGGAGAUCAUGGCAGAGCUGAAAGGAGAAGAGAACGUACACUGUUAGUAAAUGAUCCAUAAACAUCCCCUGCAAAGGACAACUGUACAUUGGAAAUCACCGUUUAGGAGAGAGAAAAACAAACCCCACCGUGCUGAGGGCCCCAGAAAAGUCAUGACCCUUGUUCACACUGAGCUGGUGGUGGCAGCAGCAUGAGAGAUGCGCUGUGGGUGAUGGUUCUCCCGGUGACUCACUCCUGCCCUCAAGCAAAGCACUUAAUGUGGCCAGGGCUCACCUCAAAAAGGGCCAGUGUUGCUUUUCUCGGGGUAAUUCUCCUAAAUUAAUGUCUGAGAGAUGCUUCCAGUUCCUAAAAUAAAAGAUGCCUCCAACGAUUCAGCAUUUGCCAGGGAAAAUCAGAAUUCCUGCAGCUGAUGCAAAAGGAGUUUGAGAUGUGCACUUUCCUUCUGUUCCACGCAGAGAAGCCCCGAGUUUCUCAAUGGAAAGGGACAAUUGAUUAUAUUUUUUUGCAGUUAAUGCUGGAAUCAGAGGAGGAUGGCAGUGAAUUUGUUGUGUUAGAGACACAUUACACCUCUGAUAUUCCCUGCAGUACCACCCUUGGGAGACUCUGAUAAACGAGGGCUUUUUAGCGGCAG